GACGAACGCUGGCGGCGUGCUUAACACAUGCAAGUCGAGCGGUAAGGCCCUUUCGGGGGUACACGAGCGGCGAACGGGUGAGUAACACGUGGGUGACCUGCCCUCAGCUCUGGGAUAAGCCCGGGAAACUGGGUCUAAUACUGGAUAUGACUCCACGGUGCAUGCCGUGGGGUGGAAAGCCUUGUGCGGCUGAGGAUGGGCCCGCGGCCUAUCAGCUUGUUGGUGGGGUGANGGCCUACCAAGGCGACGACGGGUAGCCGGCCUGAGAGGGCGACCGGCCACACUGGGACUGAGACACGGCCCAGACUCCUACGGGAGGCAGCAGGUGGGGAAUCUUG
Molecule: ribosomal RNA, 338 nt
Filed under: uncultured bacterium
Lineage: Bacteria
Description: bacterial SSU rRNA
Rfam family: Bacterial small subunit ribosomal RNA
Source: RNAcentral